CAAGCAGGGCCGGAGCUACGGGGGGGUGUGGGGGGGUGUGACACCCCCCAGUAAUUGUAUUCAGUCGGCAGAACUGCUAUUCAGUCGGUAGGACUGCUAUUGAGUCGGUAGAACUGCUAUUUGGGUUAAAUAUUUUUGGCGCAAAGGGCAAGAACGUGGUGGGAAUUUUAGGAAAAUUUUGAUGAAAAAUGUAAAAAUUUCGGAAAAAUGUAAAAAAAUGUUGAAAAUUUGUUAUGUUCGGAAAAUUUUUGAAUGUUCCGGAAAAUUUUUGUAUGUCCGGAAAAAUUUUUGGACCCCUAAAAUGGUACACUGACCGAAAUUUUUUUGGCGACGGGGGGGGAGGUCGACCAAAAAUUUCUGAUCCGGAAAAAUUUUUUUGAACCAGUCGGUUGAAUUGGCCUUAUUAACACCCCCCCUGAAG
Non-coding RNA from Paramuricea clavata, 421 nucleotides. Lineage: Eukaryota; Metazoa; Cnidaria; Anthozoa; Malacalcyonacea; Plexauridae. The record is from the annotation of a GenBank genome assembly.